Molecule: ribosomal RNA, 574 nt
Filed under: Pyrenophora tritici-repentis
Lineage: Eukaryota; Fungi; Ascomycota; Dothideomycetes; Pleosporales; Pleosporaceae
Description: eukaryotic LSU rRNA
Rfam family: 5.8S ribosomal RNA (bases 225-378)
Source: RNAcentral
AAGUCGUAACAAGGUCUCCGUAGGUGAACCUGCGGAGGGAUCAUUACACAAAUAUGAAGCCGGACUGGGAUAGGGCCUCGCUGCCUUGCCCGUCUGGCGCCAUAUUCACCCAUGUCUUUUUGCGUACUACUUGUUUCCUUGGCGGGUCCGCCCGCCAAUUGGACCUUAUUCAAACCUUUUUUUCAGUUGCAAUCAGCGUCAGCAAAACAAAUGUAAUCAAUUACAACUUUCAACAACGGAUCUCUUGGUUCUGGCAUCGAUGAAGAACGCAGCGAAAUGCGAUAAGUAGUGUGAAUUGCAGAAUUCAGUGAAUCAUCGAAUCUUUGAACGCACAUUGCGCCCUUUGGUAUUCCAAAGGGCAUGCCUGUUCGAGCGUCAUUUGUACCCUCAAGCUUUGCUUGGUGUUGGGCGUCUUGUCUCUCUCCCGAGACUCGCCUUAAAAUCAUUGGCAGCCGGCCUACUGGUUUCGGAGCGCAGCACAUUAUUUGCGCUCUUGUCCAGCCGCGGUCGCGCGUCCAUGAAGCUUCUUUCAACCUUUUGACCUCGGAUCAGGUAGGGAUACCCGCUGAACUUA